Molecule: long non-coding RNA, 1187 nt
Organism: Leucoraja erinaceus (little skate)
Lineage: Eukaryota; Metazoa; Chordata; Chondrichthyes; Rajiformes; Rajidae
Exons: 3
Source: RefSeq, a predicted model, not a curated record
UCCCCGGACAGCGGCGGCGAGAAGAACAGGGCCCGGAUGUUGGCCAUGCAGGACCCCGGCCAGGACCCCUUGCGCGCUGCCCCUGCACUGCCUGCAGCACCCCCGCACCACAACGUCGCCUCUCUCGCUACACUUAUUUUUGUAGAUAAUAAACACACUUUAUUUUGAUUGAUUCAAAAUUCUACACGCGAAUUAGUUCUUCGUGUUAUUUUAAUUUGUCUGUUUACCGUCUAUAUUGAUGAAGGCAGUUACCCGGACGUGUAUUCGAAGGCGGAGCUCCACCCACAGAUUUCCCGGAUGCCCAUUUAUAUCGCGGAAUAAAAUUAUUGUUUGACUUUUUCUAAAACAAAAAGGACUGAUUCAAAUGUAUUUGAAAUUCAAUGUUUUUGCAUAAAAUCAUAGCUGAAAAAUAGUACGGAUUGAGAAAAUAUUUUUAUUUCAGGCAACGUCUGUAGACACCUAUAAGGAGCGUGAAUCCCCGGAUGGAGUUGGAAAUAAAACCAAAAAUGUAUGUAUGUUUCAAUGUAAUUAUGAAUAGAUCGCCCGACAGGUUUUAUCAUUGCUCCAAAACACACGAGAUAAAACACUGGUGGACGAAACUGGAGACUGUCAUAACUUCAAGAAGAAUCAAGAACCAUCCAUGCAGCGAACUGCUUGUUAAGCUGCAGCAUGUAAGGAUUUCAUUGUUCCAUUAUCAGAAAAAUUACAAACACUUGAUGGUUGAUACUGGCUUUUCUUGCAUGAUUAUGGGGACUGUUCGAUUCACCUCUACCCCAAUGCGAACAUUGGACUUUGUCUAUGGAACUGAUGUGCUACAAUCCUGCAAAUUAUAUUCUGCACUUCCCCUUUGCUCUAUCUAUUGUACUUGAGCAUAACUUGAUUGUGAUUAUAUUUGUGUAUAGUAUUAUUCAGGAGGGGAACUUGGUUUAGGUUCGUUUAGGUCUAUUACCUUGUACCUUCCAAAGAGUCCACUAUACUGAAAGUUGGACAAUUUUUACAUUGAUCAAGCCAAUUAAUCUACAAACCUGUACGCCUUUGGAAUGUGGGAGGAAACCGAAGAUCUCGGAGAAAACCCACCUAAGUCACGGGAAGAACGUACAAACUCCGUACAGACAGCGCCCGUAGUCAGGAUGGAACCUGGGUCUCCGGCGGUGCAUUUGGCUGCGAGGCAGCAACUCUACCGCUGC